RNAcentral lists this ribosomal RNA (472 nucleotides) under uncultured bacterium. RNAcentral's name for it is "partial 16S ribosomal RNA". It matches the Rfam family "Bacterial small subunit ribosomal RNA", at positions 28 to 507 of the family's 1533-position model. The record is from RNAcentral.
GACGAACGCUGGCGGCGUGCUUAACACAUGCAAGUCGAACGCUGAAGCUUGGUGCUUGCACUGGGUGGAUGAGUGGCGAACGGGUGAGUAAUAAGUGAGUAACCUGCCCUUGACUCUGGGAUAAGCCUGGGAAACUGGGUCUAAUACUGGAUACGACAUGUCACCGCAUGGUGGUGUGUGGAAAGGGUUUUACUGGUUUUGGAUGGGCUCACGGCCUAUCAGCUUGUUGGUGGGGUAAUGGCUCACCAAGGCGACGACGGGUAGCCGGCCUGAGAGGGUGGACGGGCACCAUGGGACUGCGGCACGGACCAGACUCCUACGGGAGGCAGCAGUGGGGAAUAUUGCACAAUGGGCGGAAGCCUGAUGCAGCGACGCCGCGUGAGGGAUGACGGCCUUCGGGUUGUAAACCUCUUUCAGCACGGAAGAAGCGAAAGUGACGGUACGUGCAGAAGAAGCGCCGGCUAACUACGUG